CUUUAAUAGUUUAUUUAUAAAACAAUGGUCUUGUAAACCAUAAAAGAAAUUAUUUCUUAAAGCUC
This 65-nucleotide transfer RNA is filed under the name Saron marmoratus. Its description in RNAcentral is "tRNA-Thr". It matches the Rfam family "tRNA". Rfam says of the family: Transfer RNA (tRNA) molecules are approximately 80 nucleotides in length. Their secondary structure includes four short double-helical elements and three loops (D, anti-codon, and T loops). The record is from RNAcentral. Lineage: Eukaryota; Metazoa; Arthropoda; Malacostraca; Decapoda; Hippolytidae.